CUGCGCCCCGGAUGAAACGGCAUGUUUGAGCUCUUUUUAUUUUUUUUGCGGAGGAAAGCGUGGGAAAAAAUAAAAAAGCGAGUAGUGAAAGCCGGAAAUGGC
This 102-nucleotide unclassified non-coding RNA is filed under the name Epilithonimonas hominis. RNAcentral's name for it is "Chryseobacterium hominis Flavo-1 RNA". The record is from RNAcentral. Lineage: Bacteria; Pseudomonadati; Bacteroidota; Flavobacteriia; Flavobacteriales; Weeksellaceae.